RNAcentral lists this ribosomal RNA (566 nucleotides) under Wickerhamomyces sp. W8Y5. Its description in RNAcentral is "eukaryotic LSU rRNA". It matches the Rfam family "Eukaryotic large subunit ribosomal RNA", at positions 48 to 628 of the family's 3401-position model. The record is from RNAcentral. Lineage: Eukaryota; Fungi; Ascomycota; Saccharomycetes; Phaffomycetales; Wickerhamomycetaceae.
AUGCUGAGGAAAAGAAACCAACAGGGAUUGCCUCAGUAACGGCGAGUGAAGCGGCAAAAGCUCAAAUUUGAAAUCUAGCACCUUCGGUGUUCGAGUUGUAAUUUGAAGAUGGUAACCUUGGGUUUGGCUCUUGUCUAUGUUCCUUGGAACAGGACGUCAUAGAGGGUGAGAAUCCCGUCUGAUGAGAUGCCCAUUCCUAUGUAAGGUGCUAUCGAAGAGUCGAGUUGUUUGGGAAUGCAGCUCUAAGUGGGUGGUAAAUUCCAUCUAAAGCUAAAUAUUGGCGAGAGACCGAUAGCGAACAAGUACAGUGAUGGAAAGAUGAAAAGAACUUUGAAAAGAGAGUGAAAAAGUACGUGAAAUUGUUGAAAGGGAAGGGCAUUAGAUCAGACUUGGUGUUUUACGAUUAUCUUCUCUUCUUGAGUUGUGCACUCGUAUUUCACUGGGCCAGCAUCGAUUCGGAUGGCAAGAUAAUGGCAGUUGAAUGUGGCUUCACUUCGGUGGAGUGUUAUAGCUUCUGCUGAUAUUGCCUGUCUGGAUCGAGGGCUGCGUCUUUGACUAGGAUGCUG